UGAGGAAUAUUGGGCAAUGGGCGGAAGCCUGACCCAGCCAUGCCGCGUGCAGGAAGACGGUCCUAUGGAUUGUAAACUGCUUUUAUAUGGGAAGAAACACUCCCUCGUGAGGGAGCUUGACGGUACCGUAAGAAUAAGGAUCGGCUAACUCCGUGCCAGCAGCCGCGGUAAUACGGAGGAUCCAAGCGUUAUCCGGAAUCAUUGGGUUUAAAGGGUCCGUAGGCGGCCUUAUAAGUCAGUGGUGAAAUCCCAUCGCUCAACGAUGGAACUGCCAUUGAUACUGUAGGGCUUGAAUUAUUGUGAAGUAACUAGAAUAUGUAGUGUAGCGGUGAAAUGCUUAGAUAUUACAUGGAAUACCAAUUGCGAAGGCAGGUUACUAACAAUAUAUUGACGCUGAUGGAC
RNAcentral lists this ribosomal RNA (402 nucleotides) under uncultured bacterium. RNAcentral's name for it is "bacterial SSU rRNA". It matches the Rfam family "Bacterial small subunit ribosomal RNA", at positions 355 to 754 of the family's 1533-position model. The record is from RNAcentral.